ACUUCUACACGUCGCUACACAGCCCAGAAGACGGUCAUCUUCUAAAGCACAGAGCAAAACGAGUACAGUCACUGUGCAGCGCCUACACUGGUAGUGCCACCGCAGUGAUGAGCUUGUUCAGUGCAGUCGGAAGAUCCGGGUAGGGAAUCACAAGGUCGUCUCCGUUUUAAAUCAGUGCGAUGAAGUGGACACUUCUCUCGCACACACUGCACUAUACAGUGACACGACGUUUCGGCUAAGUCACAAGGAAGCAUGGGAAGACGAUUACGAUUAACACAGAGAUUACAAAGUUAUUUACUGAUGGAAGACAUCAAGGAAAUUUCCUGCUUUCUUUAAAAUGGUGAAGGUAAACGUCCAGCCUCGGUACUAGAUGGAGGUAAAUGGCGAGCUUCAUGCUCCAGCCGCCUCACACAUGCAAGAUUCGCCCCCCCCCCCCAAACGCAUGUUCAGGUGGGAACCGAGUGAUUAAAGGAAUUUUUUUUUCCCACAGGUUUCUGGUAAUUGAACAUUCUUUACUCAGGUCACAUCAGAGAAGAUUACGGGAACUUAAGGUCUAUGAUGUGUUAAUUUCGAACAGUAUCACAAUUAAGAGGUUUUACUUUUUUAUUCGAAAACGAAAUAUAAUAACUGAACUUAUACUAAACUGUAGAACCAUUAUUAGAAAUAAAGAUGAUUACCAUAUCACGAAA
Long non-coding RNA from Zootermopsis nevadensis, 689 nucleotides. RefSeq lists it as uncharacterized. Lineage: Eukaryota; Metazoa; Arthropoda; Insecta; Blattodea; Termopsidae. The record is from RefSeq and is a predicted model, not a curated record.